GUGGCGGGAAGGGCCCGGGAAGGGCCCGGGAAGCGGGAUUGGGACCCUGUGCCCCCCGGGGCCGGGCACACGCCUGCAGGCCCUGCAGGCAAACCCGGCAGCCACAGUUCUGCCCUGGGGGAGCUGGCAGCGGCCACCGGCGAGCAGGCAGUGGGAACUUCACCAGACUGUCGUGACUUUUCAAAUAUGAUGGAAAGCAGCUUUGCAGCUUUGUCUGUCAGUUCCCUUAGGAGCCACAGAUGGAUCUCAUCAGAUCCCAUGGACAUGUGCCAUUUCAGGAUGAAAAGUUGAACCCAAAGGGAAGAGAAGACACUGACUGCCCGUUUUGUAAAGGAACCUCUGUCUUUAGGUCUGCCUUGGAAAUGUGACAUGUGUUUUCAAGAUAUCUCUCAGAAAACAAUGCAGUCUCUAAGUCCCGGUACACUUGCUACACUUGCUGUAGAAGCAGCACACCUUUCUGCAUAGCCAACUGGAAGGAAUCUUCAAGUGUGGCCACAUUUUUCCCAGAGGAGGAAUUCAUAGUCAAAGAAGAACUGCCACAUGAAAGGAGAACACUGGGCUGACGAGGAGAAAACAUAGAUGGAAAAGACACUAUUAAAAAGUAACUGCAGGAAUCUGGGAGUGAUUAGGUUUCACUGCCAAAGCAAUUAUCAGUGAAGUCCCUUCUAGUUCCUCAUGAAGAGCCAUUUGUAGAAAUGAGGAAAUCACUACUGGAUUGCAUUAUUAAUGCAUCUCCCAUAAAAGAUGUCUUAUUUUCUCACUCAGUCCCAUAGCUCUCUAUUCAAGAUAUAUCUAAGUUUUUGUACCAAGAAAAGAGUUUUCUGGAGAAGACAAUUUGAACUUGGCUAGCAAAAAUCCCAGCCCAGAAGCCACGGUAGCCACUGGACAACAGACUGACCCUCCAAAAAACUGGAGAGAGACCAACAACAGUGCGUCGCCUCAUUCUCUGCAGGAGAACAGAGUGUAUGCACCAGGUCUGAUAAAAACAGGAGUGAAAAGAGGUAUCAAGAGCACUGUAAGUCUAUACCAAAAGAGGAAGUGAUGAGAGUUUCCAUGCUUUUUUCUAUUUAUAUUUACCUAUCUUUUCCAGUCACAGAGAGAGUCAGGAAAAAAAAAUGCAAAACUCACCAUCCUCACAGUGAAGAACUUCCUCCUAAUGUCUAACCUAAAUCUCCCCUCUUCUAGUUUAAAACCUUUACCCCUUGUCCUAUCCCUGCAUGAUAGUCCCUGGGUCCCUCCCCAGCUCUUCCUGUAGGCCCUUCAGGUACUGGAUGCUGAGGCUGAAUAAAAACAAAAUUCAAAAAGCGCCCUUCUGACUCAUUGAAAGAGCUGAAAUCUGCGGAUUAUCUCCUUCAAAGGAGGCAGGAGGCAGAAGGGAAGGCCAAGUCCAGCUGACAGCACUGGGGUACAUCCC
Long non-coding RNA from Apus apus (common swift), 1414 nucleotides. RefSeq lists it as uncharacterized. NCBI's taxonomy places the organism in Eukaryota, Metazoa, Chordata, Aves, Apodiformes, Apodidae. The record is from RefSeq and is a predicted model, not a curated record. The transcript is spliced from 5 exons.